This 253-nucleotide ribosomal RNA is filed under the name uncultured bacterium. RNAcentral describes it as "partial 16S ribosomal RNA". It matches the Rfam family "Bacterial small subunit ribosomal RNA", at positions 524 to 776 of the family's 1533-position model. The record is from RNAcentral.
UACAGAGGGUGCAAGCGUUAAUCGGAAUUACUGGGCGUAAAGCGUGCGUAGACGGUUAUUUAAGUCGGGUGUGAAAGCCCCGGGCUCAACCUGGGAAUUGCAUUCGAGACUGAAUAGCUAGGGUGCGGAAGAGGGAAGCGGAAUUUCCGGUGUAGCGGUGAAAUGCGUAGAUAUCGGAAGGAACACCAGUGGCGAAAGCGGCUUCCUGGUCCAGCACCGACGUUCAGGCGCGAAAGCGUGGGGAGCAAACAGG